Molecule: ribosomal RNA, 498 nt
Filed under: uncultured bacterium
Lineage: Bacteria
Description: partial 16S ribosomal RNA
Rfam family: Bacterial small subunit ribosomal RNA
Source: RNAcentral
AUUGAACGCUGGCGGAAUGCUUUACACAUGCAAGUCGAACGGCAGCACGGGGCAACCUGGUGGCGAGUGGCGAACGGGUGAGUAAUACAUCGGAACGUGCCCAGUCGUGGGGGAUAACGUAGCGAAAGUUACGCUAAUACCGCAUACGAUCUAAGGAUGAAAGCGGGGGAUCGCAAGACCUCGCGCGAUUGGAGCGGCCGAUGUCAGAUUAGGUAGUUGGUGGGGUAAAGGCCCACCAAGCCGACGAUCGGUAGCUGGUCUGAGAGGACGACCGGCCACACUGGGACGGAGACACGGCCCAGGCUCCUACGGGAGGCAGCAGUGGGGAAUUUUGGACAAUGGGCGAAAGCCUGAUCCAGCCAUGCCGCGUGCAGGAUGAAGGCCUUCGGGUUGUAAACUGCUUUUGUACGGAACGAAAAGGUUUGGCCUAAUAAGCUGAGCUCAUGACGGUACCGUAAGAAUAAGCACCGGCUAACUACGUGCCAGCCGCCGCGGUAA